This 500-nucleotide ribosomal RNA is filed under the name uncultured bacterium. RNAcentral's name for it is "partial 16S ribosomal RNA". It matches the Rfam family "Bacterial small subunit ribosomal RNA", at positions 30 to 523 of the family's 1533-position model. The record is from RNAcentral.
AUUGAACGCUGGCGGCAGGCUUAACACAUGCAAGUUGAGCGGGGGAAGGUAGCUUGCUACCGGACCUAGCGGCGGACGGGUGAGUAAUGCUUAGGAAUCUGCCUAUUAGUGGGGGACAACAUCUCGAAAGGGAUGCUAAUACCUCAUACGUCCUACGGGAGCAAGCAGGGGAUCUUCGGACCUUGCGAUAAUAGAUGAACCGAAGUCGGAUUAGCUAGUUGGUGGGGUAAAGGCCUACCAAGGCGACGAUCUGUAGCGGGUCUGAGAGGAUGGUCCGCCACACUGGGACUGAGACCCGGCCCAAACUCCUCGGGAGGCAGCAGUGGGGAAUAUUGGACAAUGGGGGGAACCCUGAUCCAGCCAUGCCGCGUGUGUGAAGAAGGCCUUAUGGUUGUAAAGCACUUUAAGCGAGGAGGAGGCUACUUUAGUUAAUACCUAGAGAUAGUGGACGUUACUCGCAGAAUAAGCACCGGCUAACUCUGUGCCAGCAGCCGCAGUAA